UACGUAGGCGGGAAAUUAAGUCAGUAGUGAAAUCCCACAGCUUAACUGUGGAACUGUUAUUGAUACUGGUUUUCUUGAAUAUAGUUGAGGUAGGCGGAAUGUGUAAUGUAGCGGUGAAAUGCUUAGAUAUUACACAGAACACCGAUUGCGAAGGCAGCUUACUAAGCUAUGAUUGACGCUGAGGUACGAAAGCGUGGGGAGCAAACAGGAUUAGAUACCCUGGUAGUCC
RNAcentral lists this ribosomal RNA (229 nucleotides) under uncultured bacterium. RNAcentral describes it as "partial 16S ribosomal RNA". It matches the Rfam family "Bacterial small subunit ribosomal RNA", at positions 568 to 796 of the family's 1533-position model. The record is from RNAcentral.